GAACCUGACACUAGUACGAGAGGACCGUGUUGGACAGACCUCUAGUGUACCUGUUGUAGCGCCAGCUGCACCGCAGGGUAGCUAUGUCUGGAAGAGAUAAGUGCUGAAAGCAUCUAAGUACGAAGCUCAUCUCAAGAUGAGAUCUCCCUUAAGGGUCGUUGAAGAUGACAACGUUGAUAGGCUGCAGGUGUAAAGACGGUAACGCCAAAGCUGAGCAGUACUAAUUACCCGUGAGCUUUCUGAGU
This 245-nucleotide ribosomal RNA is filed under the name Bacteroidales bacterium. RNAcentral's name for it is "partial 23S ribosomal RNA". It matches the Rfam family "Bacterial large subunit ribosomal RNA", at positions 2668 to 2925 of the family's 2925-position model. The record is from RNAcentral. Lineage: Bacteria; Pseudomonadati; Bacteroidota; Bacteroidia; Bacteroidales.